UACAGAGGUCUCAAGCGUUGUUCGGAAUCACUGGGCGUAAAGGGUGCGUAGGCCGCACGGAAAGUCAGAGGUGAAAUCCCGGAGCUCAACUCCGGAAUUGCCUCCGAUACUCCCGUGCUUGAGGACUGGAGAGGAGUCUGGAAUUCACAGUGGAGCAGUGAAAUGCGUAGAUAUUGUGAGGAACACUAGUGGCGAAGGCGAGACUCUGGACAGUUCCUGACGCUGAGGCACGAAGGCCAGGGGAGCAAACGGG
RNAcentral lists this ribosomal RNA (253 nucleotides) under uncultured bacterium. RNAcentral describes it as "partial 16S ribosomal RNA". It matches the Rfam family "Bacterial small subunit ribosomal RNA", at positions 524 to 776 of the family's 1533-position model. The record is from RNAcentral.